This 786-nucleotide ribosomal RNA is filed under the name uncultured bacterium. RNAcentral's name for it is "bacterial SSU rRNA". It matches the Rfam family "Bacterial small subunit ribosomal RNA", at positions 8 to 807 of the family's 1533-position model. The record is from RNAcentral.
AGAGUUUGAUCCUGGCUCAGGACGAACGCUGGCGGCGCGCCUAACACAUGCAAGUCGAACGAGCGAGAGAGAGCUUGCUUUCUCGAGCGAGUGGCGAACGGGUGAGUAACGCGUGAGGAACCUGCCUCAAAGAGGGGGACAACAGUUGGAAACGACUGCUAAUACCGCAUGAGCCCACGACCCGGCAUCGGGUAGAGGGAAAAGGAGCAAUCCGCUUUGAGAUGGCCUCGCGUCCGAUUAGCUAGUUGGUGAGGUAACGGCCCACCAAGGCGACGAUCGGUAGCCGGACUGAGAGGUUGAACGGCCACAUUGGGACUGAGACACGGCCCAGACUCCUACGGGAGGCAGCAGUGGGGAAUAUUGCACAAUGGGGGAAACCCUGAUGCAGCGACGCCGCGUGGAGGAAGAAGGUCUUCGGAUUGUAAACUCCUGUUGUUGAGGAAGAUAAUGACGGUACUCAACAAGGAAGUGACGGCUAACUACGUGCCAGCAGCCGCGGUAAAACGUAGGUCACAAGCGUUGUCCGGAAUUACUGGGUGUAAAGGGAGCGCAGGCGGGAGAACAAGUUGGAAGUGAAAUCCAUGGGCUCAACCCCGGUACUGCAUUGGAAACUGUCGUACUAGAGUGUCGGAGGGGUAAGCGGAAUUCCUAGUGUAGCGGUGAAAUGCGUAGAUAUUAGGAGGAACACCAGUGGCGAAGGCGGCUUACUAGACGAUAACUGACGCUGAGGCUCGAAAGCGUGGGGAGCAAACAGAAUUAGAUACCCUGGUAGUCCACGCCGUAAAC